AACUAACAAACUGAGUUGAAGACUUUAAUUUAACUCUAGUGACUGACAAGUCUUCCUCGAAAAUGAUAAUAAAAAACUAGAAAUUACCGAAUGAUAUUUUCUGAAAAAUAAUACUCUUAGUGUUUGGGGAAU
Long non-coding RNA from Haliotis rubra (blacklip abalone), 132 nucleotides. RefSeq lists it as uncharacterized. The record is from RefSeq and is a predicted model, not a curated record. The transcript has 2 exons. Lineage: Eukaryota; Metazoa; Mollusca; Gastropoda; Lepetellida; Haliotidae.